Molecule: non-coding RNA, 987 nt
Organism: Pelodiscus sinensis (Chinese soft-shelled turtle)
Lineage: Eukaryota; Metazoa; Chordata; Testudines; Trionychidae
Source: RefSeq, a predicted model, not a curated record
ACCCCGUUACAGCCCUGCGAACUCUUCGGCUGCUUCACCGCCAGCCGCCCCAAUUGCCAUGGGCUGCUCAUGGAGGAGUUUGCAGGCCUGGGCGUUAAAUGUGCUAAGGGGGCACCAAAGCUGAGGGAAGAGCCCUAUGGUGUGGCUGGACCAAGUAAACCUAGAGCAGUGGUCACCAACAGUAGAUCUGGAUCUCUGAGCCUCUGACAGUUGAUCCUGGGAUUUGGCCAGGAAGGGAUCAAGUGCUGGCACUUCAGUUGCCGCUCCACCCACUGCCAGCUGUUCCUGCCCUCUGCUUUGGAGCUGCCCGGCUGGGAGCCUCCUGCUUGGGAGGGAGAAGAAGGGGUGUUGAUGUCAGGGUAUCCCUCUUCCCCCCACAUCUGUACCCUGUCUCCACACAGAGAGAAGGGGAUGGAGGGAGCUUGAAUCCAGAUGCACAGAGGCUUCAGAGAGACCAUGGACACAAUCCUGAGGAAUGAAAGAGAAGAAAAUUCCAUAUAGGUAACAAGACAAGAAUGGAGCCAUAAGAUUGUGUACUUUCUGCUGAAGUAUAUUGCUGCUUUUGAUGACCUCUCCUCAAGGAAUUUUUGUAUUGAGAAAAAGGAAGCUCUUGAGCAAACCUUAGACUCUCUUUGACUUAUGGCAGAAAUUGCCCCACUGUUUACCACCUUAGCUUUUAAGGUGCCAUUUCUACAUAGAUCUGAUUGAGUAUAUUGUGGGGUGUACAUGGUCUGAAUUUUAAGGACCGUUUUUCAUGUUGUUCGGAAUCUGAAGACUUUAUUAAAACAGCCUGUUUUUGUUAUGAUUGUAAUCUAAGAUAAUUAUGUCAAUAUUUCUUAUUUUCUUCUUUUAAAUUGUAUUCUUCCUGGUGUUCCAUCUCGCUGUGGUGCCUAAAAAAUUCUGCCAAUUGGCCUUCUCCCUAAUCAUAGGUCCGCUUCAUCUUGGGUGCACAAUAAUCUUUGCUGAAGAACCAUUUUUUACUGCUGU